AAAAAAUAGCGUAAUGCACCCGAUCACAUUAGAACUCUAUAGUUAAGCGUGCUCGAGCUAGAGUAGUACUAGGAUGGCUGACCUCCCGGGAAUUCCUAGUUUUUUA
Non-coding RNA from Picea glauca (white spruce), 106 nucleotides. The record is from Rfam. NCBI's taxonomy places the organism in Eukaryota, Viridiplantae, Streptophyta, Pinopsida, Pinales, Pinaceae.